This 439-nucleotide ribosomal RNA is filed under the name Chloroparvula japonica. Its description in RNAcentral is "partial Bacterial large subunit ribosomal RNA". It matches the Rfam family "Bacterial large subunit ribosomal RNA", at positions 1383 to 1936 of the family's 2925-position model. The record is from RNAcentral. Lineage: Eukaryota; Viridiplantae; Chlorophyta; Chloropicophyceae; Chloropicales; Chloropicaceae.
GUCGGCUCCUAAGGCGAGGCCGAAAGGCGUAGUCGAUGGGAAUGCAGUUAAUAUUCUGCAGCCUGGUGGUAGUGACGGAUCUCGUAAAUUGUACAUCCUUAUUGGAUUGGUUGUGCAGUGAAGAGGUUCCAGGAAAUAGCUCCACCGUAUAGACCGUACCCCAAACCGACACAGGUGGUCAGGUAGAGAAUACUAAGGCGCUUGAGAGAACUAUGUUGAAGGAACUCGGCAAAAUGCUCCCGUAAGUUCGCGAGAAGGGAGACCUCCACUUAGGCAACUAGGUGGGGGUGGCACAGACCAGGGGGUGGCGACUGUUUACUAAAAACACAGGGCUCUGCGAAGUCGCAAGACGACGUAUAGGGUCUGACGCCUGCCCGGUGCCGGAAGGUUAAGAGGAGAGGUGAGAGCUUUGAAUCGAAGCCCCGGUAAACGGCGGCCG